This 364-nucleotide ribosomal RNA is filed under the name Baoris leechii. RNAcentral describes it as "partial 16S ribosomal RNA". The record is from RNAcentral. Lineage: Eukaryota; Metazoa; Arthropoda; Insecta; Lepidoptera; Hesperiidae.
UUAAAGGGCUGCAGUAUAUUGACUGUACAAAGGUAGCAUAAUAAUUAGUCUUUUAAUUGAAGACUUGCAUGAAAGAUUUGAUGAGAUAUAAACUGUCUCUUUUUUAAAAUUAGAAUUUAAUUUUUUAGUAAAAAAGCUAAAAUUAUUUUAAAAGACGAGAAGACCCUAUAGAGUUUUAUAAUUAAAUUAAUUAAAAAUUUAUUUAAAAAUUAAAAAAUAAUUAAUUUUAAUUAUUUUAUUGGGGUGAUAAAAAAAUUAAAAUAACUUUUUUUUAAUUUAAACAUUAAUUGAUGAAUAAUUGAUCCAUUUUUUAUGAUUAUAAGAAAAAAUUACCUUAGGGAUAACAGCGUAAUUUUUUUUUUUA